Molecule: small RNA, 1042 nt
Filed under: Histoplasma capsulatum var. duboisii H88
Lineage: Eukaryota; Fungi; Ascomycota; Eurotiomycetes; Onygenales; Ajellomycetaceae
Description: Histoplasma capsulatum H88 hypothetical RNA
Source: RNAcentral
GCACAAUGGGCAUGACAUGACAUGCCCCACCUCUGCUGAGUCCGUUGGUUGUGGCCCUACUUAUCUCAGAUGAUCUUUUCUUCAGUGCAUCCCUGCCGAUAAUUUAUGCCAGUUGAUACAGACAAGCCCAAAGUUAUCAAUGAAGAUGAGACCGAAUGCCAGUGGUGGUGGGAAUCCGUGGAUCCCACAUCCCCUCUACGUCUAUAGGACGGGAAGGAAAUACACGUCACGGAAAGGGCCUUUGAGAGUAGCAGAGAAUAACAGGAAACUCUUCCGUUGGUUUCUGUGAGGCGGGACUACUGUGAGCAAAAUGUCAGCUCCAAAUUAUGGACAUGUUGAACACAGUAUCCCCCAAUGGGCAGUUCAGGGACAAACAUAGAAAUACUCGGUAUAAACUAGCACUGAUGCAAUAAAAACUGAAACACGCUGCAUUCACCUCAGUUGGGUCGCCAGCGCCCAGGAUCCAGACCCGGCGCUCAUUUGCAUCUAUCUCACCGCCCUGACGUCCGAAAAGUGCGAGGGACUGAUAAUCACUUUCCAGAUCUUAUAUCGAAGGAGGGAAAUCUCUUCGGCAGCGUGCCGACCAACGUACAGCCCGUAGUGCUAUCUGGGGUUGCGAUAUAGCAGAAGUCUUGUUAAGAAGCGAUCAGGGUACGAAAAUUGACGAAUAAAUGUGACCACCACAUUCUGUAGUCAUAUCAUUUGGAUCUCCACCGGCCGUGCAAAUAGCAAGUCUUUGCAAAGAAUGGACCGGUGACUUUUCUCUUAUCAACUUGGUUUCCAAUUGUUCCUCGUCCAUUGCCAGAGGCGGGGAUGUCGUCGUCUUGAAACAGAUAUAUCGGCUUUUGACAGUGACACAGUGUGAGACGGGUCCCUUUCAACUUCAGAAUUGACACCAGCAAUUGCAAACGUGCCUUGGCCUUGACAACGAAGGACAACCAGUCAUGCUUGCAUUAUCAGGCCAUUCUUAGUGAAGGAAGAAUUUGGAGUGUUGCCUCUUUAUAAAUGCAAUCUCACCAUUGCCAUGGCAAAUAUAGUUCGG